Non-coding RNA from Danio rerio (zebrafish), 400 nucleotides. The record is from RefSeq and is a predicted model, not a curated record. Lineage: Eukaryota; Metazoa; Chordata; Actinopteri; Cypriniformes; Danionidae.
AAUACCACAUUAAUGACACGCUUAAUUCAACUGCAUAACACUGUGGCAUCUUCAUUCAGAUUCUUUGUCAUUUCUGGCAGAAUAAUACGCUGGUUUGCUCCAUUUCUGUAACCAACGUGUCUGAUUUCUGUCAUUUCAGUACAUCAGGAUUCCUCCCUGUAUACAGGGUUUGUGAUCGCAGUCGCAUGUGUAGUUUUACUUCUCAUCUGCAUCGUCUUGCUCUUAAGGCAGAGAAAAAAGGCUGGAGUGUCAAACGACAGAGAGAUUCAGGUUCAAGAUCCAAGCAGACACGUCUAUGAAAAUGAUUCAUUUGUGAACGUUUCACUCAAGAAAACAGAUGAAGGACAAACUCCUCAACCCACAGAUCCUGAGACAGUCGAGUACAUAACCGUACAUUAAA